RNAcentral lists this ribosomal RNA (238 nucleotides) under uncultured bacterium. RNAcentral's name for it is "partial 16S ribosomal RNA". It matches the Rfam family "Bacterial small subunit ribosomal RNA", at positions 15 to 235 of the family's 1533-position model. The record is from RNAcentral.
GAUCAUGGCUCAGGACGAACGCUGGCGGCGUGCUUAACACAUGCAAGUCGAACGAGAAUCUACUGAAAGAGUUUUCGGACAAUGGAAGUAGAGGAAAGUGGCGGACGGGUGAGUAACGCGUGAGGAACCUGCCUUGAAGAGGGGGGACAACAGUUGGAAACGACUGCUAAUACCGCAUGACGCAUAGAGGUCGCAUGAUCUUUAUGCCAAAGAUUUAUCGCUUCAAGAUGGCCUCGCG